Long non-coding RNA from Mus musculus (house mouse), 1843 nucleotides. RefSeq annotates it as predicted gene, 52143. The record is from RefSeq and is a predicted model, not a curated record. Lineage: Eukaryota; Metazoa; Chordata; Mammalia; Rodentia; Muridae. The transcript has 2 exons.
GGAGAGCUAUGGGCAUCAGGCUGAGGGGUUUGGUGUCCAAGAAGGAUACACUGUUAGCAGGGGCAGAGAACUGAAGAGGCUGAAUCCGCCCAAUGAUAAAAUCACCAAAAUGCACCAGUCUGGAUACACUAAAGAAAAAGUCUCCAUGGUUCAGGGCUGAAGCGCUUGCCUCCCAUGCUGUGAGGCCCUGCUUUCCACAGCUCAGCACUACAAACAACUCAUAGCAGAGACCCCAGGAAGACAGCCUGCUGACAGUCACUCAAGUCCAGAGCUAGUGAGACCUACUGAGGAGGCUGUGCAACACAAGUCCAGGACCUCGAGCUGCUGAUGUGAUGCCCUUUGAUAUUCAGUGCCUGUGCAGAGACAGUGGGUGAUUAAAAGGGAUGCAUCUGGAAAGACUACUAGGAAGAAGAGAGAAAAAAAAUCCAAGUCGUCACUGCCAAUAUCACAUCAGCCGAAAUGAGAUAAAGGAAGCAGAGGUAUGGUGGCUGAGGCCAGGAAGCCAGCCUAGGCCAUCACCAGAAAUAGUCUGUUUUUAAAAGCACGUUCCAUUUCAACACAUUUCAGAAAAACAAAGAGGAGACCUUGAGGGGAAGACAAACAGGUCCUACAGUGACAAGCAGCGGGUGUGCUUGCGGCAAAGGCAGCCACCCAGAGCCAGCCAGUGAUCUUCAUCUGACAAAUUCAGAUCUCUCAUGGCAGACGAGACUCCAACAGCGAAUCACCAUCGGCAGCGGCCCCACAAAGUGCCAAUUUUCAUAUUUCCUAAGGCCUGUGGGGCUCCGGGAUUCUUGGCUUAAAUGGAAACUGUCAGAUAGGAUUUUGUACAAACACGCAGUUUCCUUGGGGGCAAACACUCUGAAAAUACAACUUGCUUUUUCAUUUUCUGACAGAUUUUCAUAUAUGGUGGUUGCAUCAAAGAUGAGACAGACAGUAGGAAGGACUUCCGGGAUGCCAGCACAGAGCAGACAAGGAGUGCAUACAGGAGGAGCCGAAUACAUUGCCUGGGCUGGGGGUAGGGGGCACAAAUAUAGGGGCCACCCCCAUGCUCUUCUCUUCCUCCCACAGCCUCCCCACCACCCCUGUAACACCAUAUCCUCCCUGCUGACGACCUGCAGCAAGGUCUUACAGGAGGAGCUGGAACAAAAGAAUGUGAAAAAUCAAACGUCUUGAAUAAGGAGUGUUAGUUACCAAUUGGGCCAGAGAGAGCGCAGUCAGUAAAGUGCUUUCUGCAUGAGCAUGCGAUAAGAACCCUCACUGGAUCCUCAGCACCCACAUACAAAGUUAGUAGGACCGGGCUCUGUAAACCCAGUGAUUGGAGGGGUGGAGACAGGAGGCCCCCCGGGGUUUGUUCAUGACCCCCAUCUAGUCAAAUCAAAAGGUAAUGUAGAGAGCAAUUGAUCUCUGGCCUUUACAUGAACAGAGACAGACACAGAGACACAGAGAUAGAGGUAGACAGACAGACCGCGGGGGGUGGGGGGGUGGGGGGAACGAAUGAUUAAAUCUUCUCUAGUGCUUAUAGACAAGGUUUGUCAAUGACACCAGUUUUUCUGAAACCAUUUUAAAGAGCCAACUCCCUUUUCUCCUAAGACCCCUUUUCUCCUAAGACCCUUUCCUGGCUCCUCAUAAAACUGUCUCAAAGAGCACAUUAGAAAGAGCUAAAAUAAGGGAUAUGUGGCAACUGUAACGUCUUGGAUUCUCAUUGGGAAUUCAAAUGAUCAGAAAUCUACUUCCAUGCCAGCACUACACUUGGAGAAAACAGUUUCUACAGUGAGGACAUCUCUGAGAUUCAGCCUGACUUGUUAAUAAAGACACCUUCCUCAAGUUUCAUGUUUUAUCCUAA